GGGUUGUGAGGUUAAGCGACUAAGCGUACACGGUGGAUGCCCUGGCAGUCAGAGGCGAUGAAGGACGUGCUAAUCUGCGAUAAGCGCCGGUAAGGUGAUAUGAACCGUUAUAACCGGCGAUUUCCGAAUGGGGAAACCCAGUGUGAUUCGUCACACUAUCAUUAACUGAAUCCAUAGGUUAAUGAGGCGAACCGGGGGAACUGAAACAUCUAAGUACCCCGAGGAAAAGAAAUCAACCGAGAUUCCCCCAGUAGCGGCGAGCGAACGGGGAGGAGCCCAGAGCCUGAAUCAGCAUGUGUGUUAGUGGAAGCGUCUGGAAAGGCGCGCGAUACAGGGUGACAGCCCCGUACACAAAAGCGCAUGUGCUGUGAGCUCGAUGAGUAGGGCGGGACACGUGGUAUCCUGUCUGAAUAUGGGGGGACCAUCCUCCAAGGCUAAAUACUCCUGACUGACCGAUAGUGAACCAGUACCGUGAGGGAAAGGCGAAAAGAACCCCGGCGAGGGGAGUGAAAAAGAACCUGAAACCGUGUACGUACAAGCAGUGGGAGCACCCUUCGGGGUGUGACUGCGUACCUUUUGUAUAAUGGGUCAGCGACUUAUAUUCUGUAGCAAGGUUAACCGUAUAGGGGAGCCGGAGGGAAACCGAGUCUUAAUUGGGCGUUAAGUUGCAGGGUAUAGACCCGAAACCCGGUGAUCUAGCCAUGGGCAGGUUGAAGGUUGGGUAACACUAACUGGAGGACCGAACCGACUAAUGUUGAAAAAUUAGCGGAUGACCUGUGGCUGGGGGUGAAAGGCCAAUCAAACCGGGAGAUAGCUGGUUCUCCCCGAAAGCUAUUUAGGUAGCGCCUCGUGAAUUCAUCUCCGGGGGUAGAGCACUGUUUCGGCUAGGGGGCCAUCCCGGCUUACCAACCCGAUGCAAACUGCGAAUACCGGAGAAUGUUAUCACGGGAGACACACGGCGGGUGCUAACGUCCGUCGUGAAGAGGGAAACAACCCAGACCGCCAGCUAAGGUCCCAAAGUCAUGGUUAAGUGGGAAACGAUGUGGGAAGGCCCAGACAGCCAGGAUGUUGGCUUAGAAGCAGCCAUCAUUUAAAGAAAGCGUAAUAGCUCACUGGUCGAGUCGGCCUGCGCGGAAGAUGUAACGGGGCUAAACCAUGCACCGAAGCUGCGGCAGCGAACGUAUCACCCAAGACAACUUUACGGAGUUGACGAUUGACGGAGCGAAGCGACGUCAAAGCGUUCAUUAAAGUCGAGUUGGCUUAGGGAUACGUUCGUUGGGUAGGGGAGCGUUCUGUAAGCCUGUGAAGGUGUGUCGUGAGGCAUGCUGGAGGUAUCAGAAGUGCGAAUGCUGACAUAAGUAACGAUAAAGCGGGUGAAAAGCCCGCUCGCCGGAAGACCAAGGGUUCCUGUCCAACGUUAAUCGGGGCAGGGUGAGUCGACCCCUAAGGCGAGGCCGAAAGGCGUAGUCGAUGGGAAACGGGUUAAUAUUCCCGUACUUGGUGUUACUGCGAAGGGGGGACGGAGAAGGCUAUGUUGGCCGGGCGACGGUUGUCCCGGUUUAAGCGUGUAGGUGUGUGUUCCAGGUAAAUCCGGUUCACUUUAACACUGAGGCGUGACGACGAGGCACUACGGUGCUGAAGCAACAAAUGCCCUGCUUCCAGGAAAAGCCUCUAAGCAUCAGGUAACACGAAAUCGUACCCCAAACCGACACAGGUGGUCAGGUAGAGAAUACCAAGGCGCUUGAGAGAACUCGGGUGAAGGAACUAGGCAAAAUGGUGCCGUAACUUCGGGAGAAGGCACGCUGACACGUAGGUGAAGUGAUUUACUCAUGGAGCUGAAGUCAGUCGAAGAUACCAGCUGGCUGCAACUGUUUAUUAAAAACACAGCACUGUGCAAACACGAAAGUGGACGUAUACGGUGUGACGCCUGCCCGGUGCCGGAAGGUUAAUUGAUGGGGUCAGCGCAAGCGAAGCUCCUGAUCGAAGCCCCGGUAAACGGCGGCCGUAACUAUAACGGUCCUAAGGUAGCGAAAUUCCUUGUCGGGUAAGUUCCGACCUGCACGAAUGGCGUAAUGAUGGCCAGGCUGUCUCCACCCGAGACUCAGUGAAAUUGAACUCGCUGUGAAGAUGCAGUGUACCCGCGGCAAGACGGAAAGACCCCGUGAACCUUUACUAUAGCUUGACACUGAACAUUGAGCCUUGAUGUGUAGGAUAGGUGGGAGGCUUUGAAGUGUGGACGCCAGUCUGCAUGGAGCCGACCUUGAAAUACCACCCUUUAAUGUUUGAUGUUCUAACGUGGACCCGUAAUCCGGGUUGCGGACAGUGUCUGGUGGGUAGUUUGACUGGGGCGGUCUCCUCCUAAAGAGUAACGGAGGAGCACGAAGGUUGGCUAAUCCUGGUCGGACAUCAGGAGGUUAGUGCAAUGGCAUAAGCCAGCUUGACUGCGAGCGUGACGGCGCGAGCAGGUGCGAAAGCAGGUCAUAGUGAUCCGGUGGUUCUGAAUGGAAGGGCCAUCGCUCAACGGAUAAAAGGUACUCCGGGGAUAACAGGCUGAUACCGCCCAAGAGUUCAUAUCGACGGCGGUGUUUGGCACCUCGAUGUCGGCUCAUCACAUCCUGGGGCUGAAGUAGGUCCCAAGGGUAUGGCUGUUCGCCAUUUAAAGUGGUACGCGAGCUGGGUUUAGAACGUCGUGAGACAGUUCGGUCCCUAUCUGCCGUGGGCGCUGGAGAACUGAGGGGGGCUGCUCCUAGUACGAGAGGACCGGAGUGGACGCAUCACUGGUGUUCGGGUUGUCAUGCCAAUGGCACUGCCCGGUAGCUAAAUGCGGAAGAGAUAAGUGCUGAAAGCAUCUAAGCACGAAACUUGCCCCGAGAUGAGUUCUCCCUGAGACUUAGAGUCUCCUGAAGGAACGUUGAAGACGACGACGUUGAUAGGCCGGGUGUGUAAGCGCAGCGAUGCGUUGAGCUAACCGGUACUAAUGAACCGUGAGGCUUAACCUUACA
RNAcentral lists this ribosomal RNA (3002 nucleotides) under Salmonella enterica subsp. enterica serovar Typhimurium. Its description in RNAcentral is "partial 23S ribosomal RNA". It matches the Rfam family "Bacterial large subunit ribosomal RNA". Lineage: Bacteria; Pseudomonadati; Pseudomonadota; Gammaproteobacteria; Enterobacterales; Enterobacteriaceae. The record is from RNAcentral.